This 661-nucleotide long non-coding RNA is filed under the name Lynx pardinus (Iberian lynx). The record is from RNAcentral. Lineage: Eukaryota; Metazoa; Chordata; Mammalia; Carnivora; Felidae.
GCCCCGUCCUUCUUUGCAUAUCUUGGUUCCCCUGCCAUAAAGUCUUUUACAUAUUCGCAGCUCCAGUGUCGUGGGCGGAUGGAUGGACGAAUGCUUUCGUGAGCGCUUUUCCCUUGUCAACCAGUUUCAGGCCACGUUCACAGCUUUGCUUUGUUUUACAUCCUGGUAGAUAAAAUGGAACUCAUGGACCAGCAGGUACGGAGCUUGAAAUUUUCAGGGGGUGUGGAAAUAAGAUAAAAACUGGGAGGGGGACAAACCAGAAGGGACUCUUAAAUACUGCGAACAAACUGAAGGUUGAUGGGAGGGCGGGAGGGAGGGGGAAGUUGGGGAUGGGCACUGAGGAGGGCACCUGUUGGGAUGAGUCCUGGGUGUUGUAUGGAACCCCAUUUGACAAUCAAUUAUAUUUACUAGGAAACAAAUUUUCCCCAGGUACUUCUCAAGAACAAACAGCAAAUCUAUCAAUGAAUAAUUAAUAGAUGCCAUGAUGCCACCUAAAAUAUUUGCUGUCAAAAGCGACUUACCAGAAGCGUUCUCAAACUAGAUUGUGGUAAUAGUUUCAAACUCAACACAUCUACUGAAAGCCGUUGAAUUGUGUACUUAAAGUGAAUGAACUUUCGUGAAUUAUACCUCAACAAAGCUGUUUUUAAAGUGAAGACAGAGA